RNAcentral lists this ribosomal RNA (463 nucleotides) under uncultured archaeon. Its description in RNAcentral is "bacterial SSU rRNA". It matches the Rfam family "Archaeal small subunit ribosomal RNA", at positions 6 to 473 of the family's 1478-position model. The record is from RNAcentral.
GGUUGAUCCCGCCGGAGGUCACUGCUAUUGGGAUUCGACUAAGCCAUGCGAGUCGCGAGGGUUCGGCCCUCGGCUGACGGCUCAGUAACACGCGGAUAAUCUGCCCUUAGGUGGAGGAUAAUCUCGGGAAACUGAGAAUAAUAUUCCAUAGAUUUAGGAUGCUGGAAUGCACUUAAAUUAAAAGCUUCGGCGCCUAAGGAUGAGUCUGCGGACUAUCAGGUUGUAGUCAGGGUAACGACCUGACUAGCCUACGACGGAUACGGGUUGUGAGAGCAAUAACCCGGAGAUGAUAUCUGAGACACGAUAUCAGGCCCUACGGGGCGCAGCAGGCGCGAAAACUUCGCAAUGUGCGAAAGCACGACGAGGGAAUCCCAAGUGCUGGCUCGUUAGAGUCAGCUGUNUUUAUGUCUAAAAAGCAUAGAGAGUAAGGGCUGGGUAAGACGGGUGCCAGCAGUCGCGGUAA